AUCAUUUAAGUUAUAAACACGGCAGAACAGUAUUCGAAUACUUUGGCAUUUGAAAAAAAAACACAAAAUAAUGAAUUUAAAAAAUUGUAUUGUGCUUUUACAUUUGUUUGUUCAUUUGUAUACAGCAAACGCAGGAAUUCGCAACAAUCCACAGAAACUAGGCGAACUAUAUAGAGAGAUUUCAUUUAAAGUCCCAGAAGUUUAUAUGUAUAUAGUAAGAGACUAUAUAGAAAAACGAGACGUGUACAAGAAAUUUCGAAUUACUGGACGGGAUGAAAAAAGGAUAUUUGGAACCCGUUGGACUGAAGAAAUGUCGGAAGAGCAAUUUGUAGCAUUAGUAACUUCAAAAUUUAGUUAUCGGCAACUCGAAAAAAUGUAUAUUAAAAUCUCAAAAGCUGUAAAGGAUGAUUGCCUAGUAACUAAGGAAAGAGUUAAAACGUUUUUAAUGAAGAAACGACUCCGAUAUGGACUAAGUGCAAAGGAAAUCGAAGCGUUAACUAAACCAAUGAAGGGUUCCCAAAUGGAUGAUGCUAUGACAUUUCGCGAAUUUCAUAGAUUCAUGGUUUUCAAAAAAUAAUGUAUACGCUUCAAGACCAGCCGGUGGUAUAUUUAAACAUUUGCAACCCCCAGACAAGCCUAUAAAUUUAC
This is an RNA transcript of Adelges cooleyi (spruce gall adelgid), 648 nucleotides long. RefSeq lists it as uncharacterized. The transcript has 6 exons. The record is from RefSeq and is a predicted model, not a curated record. NCBI's taxonomy places the organism in Eukaryota, Metazoa, Arthropoda, Insecta, Hemiptera, Adelgidae.